UAGGAAAACGGGAAUUGAACCCACACUAAAAAACUCAAAAUUUUUCGUACUUCUUAUACUACCUCCUA
RNAcentral lists this transfer RNA (68 nucleotides) under Diploglossus pleii. RNAcentral's name for it is "tRNA-Gln". Lineage: Eukaryota; Metazoa; Chordata; Lepidosauria; Squamata; Diploglossidae. The record is from RNAcentral.